RNAcentral lists this ribosomal RNA (495 nucleotides) under uncultured bacterium. RNAcentral describes it as "partial 16S ribosomal RNA". It matches the Rfam family "Bacterial small subunit ribosomal RNA", at positions 29 to 506 of the family's 1533-position model. The record is from RNAcentral.
AUGAACGCUGGCGGCGUGCCUAAUACAUGCAAGUCGAGCGAACAGACGAGGAGCUUGCUCCUCUGACGUUAGCGGCGGACGGGUGAGUAACACGUGGAUAACCUACCUAUAAGACUGGGAUAACUUCGGGAAACCGGAGCUAAUACCGGAUAAUAUAUUGAACCGCAUGGUUCAAUAGUGAAAGACGGUUUUGCUGUCACUUAUAGAUGGAUCCGCGCCGCAUUAGCUAGUUGGUAAGGUAACGGCUUACCAAGGCAACGAUGCGUAGCCGACCUGAGAGGGUGAUCGGCCACACUGGAACUGAGACACGGUCCAGACUCCUACGGGAGGCAGCAGUAGGGAAUCUUCCGCAAUGGGCGAAAGCCUGACGGAGCAACGCCGCGUGAGUGAUGAAGGUCUUCGGAUCGUAAAACUCUGUUAUUAGGGAAGAACAAAUGUGUAAGUAACUAUGCACGUCUUGACGGUACCUAAUCAGAAAGCCACGGCUAACUAUGU